RNAcentral lists this ribosomal RNA (320 nucleotides) under uncultured Prevotella sp. Its description in RNAcentral is "partial 16S ribosomal RNA". The record is from RNAcentral. Lineage: Bacteria; Pseudomonadati; Bacteroidota; Bacteroidia; Bacteroidales; Prevotellaceae.
GGAGUUUGGACCGUGUCUCAGUUCCAAUGUGGGGGACCUUCCUCUCAGAACCCCUACUGAUCGCAGGCUUGGUGGGCCGUUACCCCGCCAACAACCUAAUCAGACGCAUCCCCAUCCUAUAGCGGUAAACCUUUGGUAUUCAUCUGAUGUCAUCAAAAUACAACAUAGGGUAUUAAUCCGCAUUUCGCCGGGCUGUGCCCUACUAAGGGGAAGGUUGGAUACGCGUUACUCACCCGUGCGCCGGUCGCCAUCUAUCAAAGCAAGCUCCGAUAAUGAUGCCCCUCGACUUGCAUGUGUUAAGCCUGUAGCUAGCGUUCAUC